Molecule: transfer RNA, 88 nt
Filed under: Oceanicaulis sp. HTCC2633
Lineage: Bacteria; Pseudomonadati; Pseudomonadota; Alphaproteobacteria; Maricaulales; Maricaulaceae
Also listed under: 1 other name
Rfam family: tRNA
About the family: Transfer RNA (tRNA) molecules are approximately 80 nucleotides in length.
Source: Rfam by way of RNAcentral
GGAGACGUGGCCGAGUGGUCGAAGGCGCUCCCCUGCUAAGGGAGUAUACCUCAAAAGGGUAUCGUGGGUUCGAAUCCCAUCGUCUCCG